ACUGCUCCUAGAGGUGUUGCAGGUGUGGCUGCCGUUUGGCGCCUGCGUCAUUAGGUGGCAGAGAGCAGAGAGGCUCGCCUAUGCCCAGCGCCAUGGCCUGGAUGGUUGACGGCCUGACACG
RNAcentral lists this small nucleolar RNA (121 nucleotides) under Myotis davidii. RNAcentral describes it as "Small nucleolar RNA SNORA17". It matches the Rfam family "Small nucleolar RNA SNORA17". From Rfam's summary of the family: snoRNA ACA 17 belongs to the H/ACA family of snoRNAs and is predicted to guide pseudouridylation of the 28S rRNA at positions U4659 and U4598. It shares the same host gene together with ACA43. Lineage: Eukaryota; Metazoa; Chordata; Mammalia; Chiroptera; Vespertilionidae. The record is from Rfam by way of RNAcentral.